RNAcentral lists this small RNA (778 nucleotides) under Pan troglodytes (chimpanzee). RNAcentral describes it as "processed transcript". The record is from RNAcentral. Lineage: Eukaryota; Metazoa; Chordata; Mammalia; Primates; Hominidae.
GACAGAGGACAGGCUGCUAAGCCAGGAAGCAGAAUCAAAGUAAACAGCAGUCCCCAUGUGUCUCCUGUGUGCUGUGCACUGUCCUUGGCUGAGAUCAUUACCUCAGAGGAGGCAGAGCGGCGGGGCCAGAUCUACGACCGUCAGGGCGCCACCUACCUCUUUGACCUGGACUACGUGGAGGACGUGUACACCGUGGAUGCCGCCUACUAUGGCAACAUCUCCCACUUUGUCAACCACAGUUGUGACCCCAACCUGCAGGUGUACAACGUCUUCAUAGACAACCUUGACGAGCGGCUGCCCCGCAUCGCUUUCUUUGCCACAAGAACCAUCCGGGCAGGCGAGGAGCUCACCUUUGAUUACAACAUGCAAGUGGACCCCGUGGACAUGGAGAGCACCCGCAUGGACUCCAACUUUGGCCUGGCUGGGCUCCCUGGCUCCCCUAAGAAGCGGGUCCGUAUUGAAUGCAAGUGUGGGACUGAGUCCUGCCGCAAAUACCUCUUCUAGCCCUUAGAAGUCUGAGGCCAGACUGACUGAGGGGGCCUGAAGCUACAUGCACCUCCCCCACCGCUGCCCUCCUGUCGAGAAUGACUGCCAGGGCCUCGCCUGCCUCCACCUGCCCCCACCUGCUCCUACCUGCUCUACGUUCAGGGCUGUGGCCAUGGUGAGGACCGACUCCAGGAGUCCCCUUUCCCUGUCCCAGCCCCAUCUGUGGGUUGCACUUACAAACCCCCACCCACCUUCAGAAAUAGUUUUUCAACAUCAAGACUCUCUGUCGUUG